Molecule: ribosomal RNA, 34 nt
Filed under: Crassiphyllum fernandesii
Lineage: Eukaryota; Viridiplantae; Streptophyta; Bryopsida; Hypnales; Neckeraceae
Description: partial 25S ribosomal RNA
Source: RNAcentral
CUUAGUGGCAAUCUCCCCCGCAGGUGACUAGCUA